This 468-nucleotide ribosomal RNA is filed under the name uncultured bacterium. Its description in RNAcentral is "partial 16S ribosomal RNA". It matches the Rfam family "Bacterial small subunit ribosomal RNA", at positions 28 to 507 of the family's 1533-position model. The record is from RNAcentral.
GACGAACGCUGGCGGCGUGCUUAACACAUGCAAGUCGAACGGAAAGGCCCUGCUUUUGUGGGGUGCUCGAGUGGCGAACGGGUGAGUAACACGUGAGUAACCUGCCCUUGACUUUGGGAUAACUUCAGGAAACUGGGGCUAAUACCGGAUAGGAGCUCCUGCUGCAUGGUGGGGGUUGGAAAGUUUCGGCGGUUGGGGAUGGACUCGCGUCUUAUCAGCUUGUUGGUGGGGUAGUGGCUUACCAAGGCUUUGACGGGUAGCCGGCCUGAGAGGGUGACCGGCCACAUUGGGACUGAGAUACGGCCCAGACUCCUCCGGGAGGCAGCAGUGGGGAAUAUUGCACAAUGGGCGGAAGCCUGAUGCAGCAACGCCGCGUGCGGGAUGACGGCCAUCGGGUUGUAAACCGCUUUCGCCUGUGACGAAGCGUGAGUGACGGUAAUGGGUAAAGAAGCACCGGCUAACUACGUG